Molecule: ribosomal RNA, 438 nt
Filed under: Staphylococcus aureus
Lineage: Bacteria; Bacillati; Bacillota; Bacilli; Caryophanales; Staphylococcaceae
Description: bacterial SSU rRNA
Rfam family: Bacterial small subunit ribosomal RNA
Source: RNAcentral
UGCUUCUCUGAUGUUAGCGGCGGACGGGUGAGUAACACGUGGAUAACCUACCUAUAAGACUGGGAUAACUUCGGGAAACCGGAGCUAAUACCGGAURAUAUUUUGAACCGCAUGGUUCAAAAGUGAAAGACGGUCUUGCUGUCACUUAUAGAUGGAUCCGCGCUGCAUUAGCUAGUUGGUAAGGUAACGGCUUACCAAGGCAACGAUGCAUAGCCGACCUGAGAGGGUGAUCGGCCACACUGGAACUGAGACACGGUCCAGACUCCUACGGGAGGCAGCAGUAGGGAAUCUUCCGCAAUGGGCGAAAGCCUGACGGAGCAACGCCGCGUGAGUGAUGAAGGUCUUCGGAUCGUAAAACUCUGUUAUUAGGGAAGAACAUAUGUGUAAGUAACUGUGCACAUCUUGACGGUACCUAAUCAGAAAGCCACGGCUAACUAC